This 731-nucleotide ribosomal RNA is filed under the name uncultured Bacillus sp. Its description in RNAcentral is "bacterial SSU rRNA". It matches the Rfam family "Bacterial small subunit ribosomal RNA", at positions 94 to 811 of the family's 1533-position model. The record is from RNAcentral. Lineage: Bacteria; Bacillati; Bacillota; Bacilli; Caryophanales; Bacillaceae.
AGCGCCGGACGGGUGAGUAACACGUGGGCAACCUGCCUGUAAGACUGGGAUAACUUCGGGAAACCGAAGCUAAUACCGGAUAGGAUCUUCUCCUUCAUGGGAGAUGAUUGAAAGAUGGUUUCGGCUAUCACUUACAGAUGGGCCCGCGGUGCAUUAGCUAGUUGGUGAGGUAACGGCUCACCAAGGCAACGAUGCAUAGCCGACCUGAGAGGGUGAUCGGCCACACUGGGACUGAGACACGGCCCAGACUCCUACGGGAGGCAGCAGUAGGGAAUCUUCCGCAAUGGACGAAAGUCUGACGGAGCAACGCCGCGUGAGUGAUGAAGGCUUUCGGGUCGUAAAACUCUGUUGUUAGGGAAAAACAAGUACGAGAGUAACUGCUCGUACCUUGACGGGACCUAACCAGAAAGCCACGGCUAACUACGUGCCACCAGCCGCGGUAAUACGUAUGUGGCAAGCGUUAUCCGGAAUUAUUGGGCGUAAAGCGCGCGCAGGCGGUUUCUUAAGUCUGAUGUGAAAGCCCACGGCUCAACCGUGGAGGGUCAUUGGAAACUGGGGAACUUGAGUGCACAAGAGAAAAGCGGAAUUCCACGUGUAGCGGUGAAAUGCGUACAGAUGUGGAGGAACACCAGUGGCGAAGGCGGCUUUUUGGUCUGUAACUGACGCUGAGGCGCGAAAGCGUGGGGAGCAAACACGAUUACAUACCCUGGUAGUCCACGCCGUACACGAUG